RNAcentral lists this ribosomal RNA (497 nucleotides) under uncultured bacterium. RNAcentral describes it as "partial 16S ribosomal RNA". It matches the Rfam family "Bacterial small subunit ribosomal RNA", at positions 28 to 507 of the family's 1533-position model. The record is from RNAcentral.
GAUGAACGCUGGCGGCGUGCCUAAUACAUGCAAGUCGAGCGAACAGAUAAGGAGCUUGCUCCUUUGACGUUAGCGGCGGACGGGUGAGUAACACGUGGGUAACCUACCUAUAAGACUGGGAUAACUUCGGGAAACCGGAGCUAAUACCGGAUAAUAUUUCGAACCGCAUGGUUCGAUAGUGAAAGAUGGUUUUGCUAUCACUUAUAGAUGGACCCGCGCCGUAUUAGCUAGUUGGUAAGGUAACGGCUUACCAAGGCGACGAUACGUAGCCGACCUGAGAGGGUGAUCGGCCACACUGGAACUGAGACACGGUCCAGACUCCUACGGGAGGCAGCAGUAGGGAAUCUUCCGCAAUGGGCGAAAGCCUGACGGAGCAACGCCGCGUGAGUGAUGAAGGUCUUCGGAUCGUAAAACUCUGUUAUUAGGGGAGAACAUACGUGUAAGUAACUGUGCACGUCUUGACGGUACCUAAUCAGAAAGCCACGGCUAACUACGUG